Molecule: long non-coding RNA, 1435 nt
Filed under: Canis lupus familiaris (dog)
Lineage: Eukaryota; Metazoa; Chordata; Mammalia; Carnivora; Canidae
Description: lncRNA (ENSCAFG00030003671.1)
Source: RNAcentral
CCUUAGGCUUACUGCCUUGGCUUAGGGGUCCAGGGAUCAAGCCCCUCACUGGGGUCCCUGCCCAGCCGGAAGUCUGUUUCUCCCUCUCUCUCUGCUGUUCCCCCUGCUUGUGCUCUCUUGGUCAAAUAAAUAAAAUCUUAAAAAAAAAAUGCACGUUACCUGUUAGACCAUGAAUUUUCUUAAGUGGACACUCCAAGGGAACCAGCCUCCAAAUCAAAAAAUAAAACCUAGCACACAGAACGAGGGUGUUUUUACUCCCAAAGCCAAGAGAAUAUUAAAAUGGUUUAAAUCCCUUGGCGGGGGUGGGGAGAGUUUGCAACCUUGAGCUGGUGAUAACGUGAACUCCAAAAUGCACUUUAUUUUGAGGGCAAAUUUACCGAGGACACUGUAUUCCUUCUCCCCUUCAUUUAACCACUGUGAGCGCUGCUCCGUUUGGUCUGGCUCUAGGAUUCCGAAACAGUUCCUUAAUUCACGAGCGACUUUUGAGAUCUCCCAGUUACGGCUGCUUCUUUCCAACAAGAAAAAAAAUUUUUUUUAGUUUGUUUGUUUAUUUAUUUAUUUCACACACAGAGAGGCAGAGACACAGGCAGAAGCAGAUUUUAACCAAAGUUUCAGAGCAGAAAAGUGUUGGGCACGGUCGUGCCUUUCGCGUCAGGAGGGCGCAGGAGGGCCGAGCACCCUUGGACCCCUGCAGGGUCGGUCCCCUCCGUCGGCCGCCCGGCGCCAAACGCCCCUCCGCCAAACGCCGGCCGCGCAGCCGGGGGUGCUGGGGGGUCACCCCCACCUCGGGAGCGCUUGGGGGGAGUCUACCCCCACCUCGGGGGCGCUCGGGGGUUCCACCCCCACUUUGGGGGCGCUCGGGGAGGCACUCCCAUCUCGAGGUCCACCGCCACCUCGGGGGCACUCGGGGGACCACCCCCACCUCGGGGCGCCCGGGCCGCCAGGCUGCGCUGUCCCUUUAACUGCACCGGGCGAGGGUGUGCGGCGCAGGGCGGGGUCCUCCCGCCUCCUCCCCCACCGCUCCCUUCCCCCGCCCACCCGAGUUUCAGGUGAAGGGGUCACGGAGGGAGGAGGCGGCGCCCCGCGCUCUCCCGCCGGCGGCCACCGCCCCCUUCUCCGUCCCUGCGGGAGGCGGCGGGGCUCCGGGGUGCGGCCCGAGCGCAGGGGCCCGCGCGGCGCAACAGGUGAGGCGGACGCGGGGCCGCGCGGCUCCAGGUCGGGCGGGGCGCCGGUGCGCAUGCCCGGGGACGGGGUGGGGGGGGAGGGGAGGGGGCGGGGGCGGGGGCCGGCGAGCGCCGAAGGGCUGGCCGCAUUCCUCGGCUGGCUCCCGGCUGCGUGCGGGCCGCGCUCGGCGUCAGACCUUGCAAAUGGCGCGACCACAGGAAGAGCGUCUGCCCCAAGCAGCACCUGCGUGGGGGCCUUGGCAUUGAUUUAG